RNAcentral lists this long non-coding RNA (2905 nucleotides) under Homo sapiens (human). Its description in RNAcentral is "HSALNT0066377". Lineage: Eukaryota; Metazoa; Chordata; Mammalia; Primates; Hominidae. The record is from RNAcentral.
AAAAAAUGGUUCAUCAACUAGUAUAUCACAUGUAAUACUGUCAUAAUUAUUUUCCAGUUGUUUUUCCCUACCAAAUAUGUGAAGGUGUGGGCACUUUGCCGAGAUGAUCUGAUUUCAAAUUUCACAAGCAUAUCCAAAUUUUCAGUGGCUUAACACAAUAACAGUGCAUUUCUUACUCCAAUAAUAUUCUAAUGCUGGCAGGGAGAGCGUUGGGAAAUCUCUUCUCUAUCUUUAUUUAGGGACUUAGACUCAUUUCAUUUAUUAAUUUUUUCCAUCCCUUAGGUCUUUGAGUUCUCCACUGAAUGCUUUCCAAUAAGCCAGGAGAUGAGGGAUGAGAAAGAGUACACAAAGAAUCUCAUGAGAAUAGUUUCAGGAACUUUAGGCCAGACCUAGAAGUGGAUAUAUGACUUCCACAUAUGUUCCAUUGGCCAGAACUCCAUUGCAUGGUCCCAACUAACUGCAGAGGAAUCAGAAAUGUAGUCUAGCUAUGUGCAAAGGAGAGAAAAAGAAAUUGAACUUGAAAACAUAUUUACAGCCUAGAUGUUGGGGUUGGACCUUCUGUAAACUCUAAAGGCAGUUUAUAAAUUAAAUGCACGAGUGAUGUGACUCUGCUAUAUUUAUGCUGAGGAAUUAAAUAGCAAAAUCUAGUAUUUCACUGAUGUAUUUAUAUAAAGUAUCUGCUAUAACCUUGUAUAGUACAUUACAUGAUAAUCAUAUUUGAACCUUCCUUCUGGGGACACUAUCUCUCAAGACGUUUUAUGCACCAUGUCAACAAGUUCCAGGUUUAGGAUAACACGCCACUGCUGUCUCUACUUCGGUGAGAGCAAAGGAUGAUUUUUACUUCCACCACUGCCCCCUUCAACCCAUUUUUGUUCAGUCCCAGAAGACCAACUUGUUAGGAAUUUGAAAGUUUUACUGUGUCAGCCACACGUGCAAGGAAAAUCACUCCAAUAAAAUGAGAAAUUCUUCUCUAGAAGGUAAAAAUAGAAUCCCAGCAGCAGGGCAACUACAAAGAUAAAGAAAAAAUAGCCUUUAGGCUAAAGGCAGGUUGGUAAGUUAAGGUGGCAUCUAACAAACACAUUGGGAUUUCCUGGGACUUGAGUGGGACUGCUUACUGAAGCAUUUAAUAGAACAGAGUGCUAGAUUGCUUAGCCCAGAUUACAGAUAAAAAAGAUUUGAAAAGACCAUUACAUAAGCCUAAAUCUUCAUUCACCAAAAAAAAAAAAAAAAAAAAGAGAGAAGAAAAGAAAAGAAAAGUCUCCUUAAAAUGUAUAAAAUCCUAGUCUAUAAAGAAUGCCCAGUUUCUAGGUAAGGGAUAAAGGUUGGCAGUUUGCAAAAAGAAAAAUGUUAACAUAACCAUUUCUCCUAUUCUAUUCUGUCUCUCCUUAUCUAGCCAAGAAAACUCCAGGGUGCUGUGUUCAGCAUUUGUAUAUACAGACAAAACAUUCUGUUUAUGCAGAUAAGAUAAAGGACAAGGCACAUGAAAGUUUGAGAGACAAUGAUUACUGAAGAGAAAAUGUUGAACUAAGAUUCCUAUUCUAGCACUGGUUCUAGGAAUUCUUUCUUUACUAACUGUGUGACUUUGAAUUAUUCAAUGUGAAUAAUAAAACUUGCUUAGUAGUUUAGGUGUAUUAGACACUAAAGGGAUUAAACACUAUGAAUAAUCAUCAUCAGAAAGAUGUUAUAAUUUAAUAAGAAAAUUAAGGCACGUAUACAAAUGAGUUUAUCACAGGAUAAGGUAAGCGCACUAUGAGAAGUACUAACAGGUGGUGGGGCAAGAUGGCAGAAUAGAAAGCUCCCCCAAUCCUCCCACUCACUCCGACCCCAAGGACACCAAAUCAACAUCUACACAGAAUAAAGACCAUCAUAAGAAUCAAAAAUAAGGUGAGGAAUCAUAGUACCUGGUUUUAACUUCAUAUCACUGAAAGAAGCGCCGAAGAGAUAGAAAAAAAAUCCUGGAUCACGGAUGCCACCCGUCCUCCAUCCAAGGCAUUAGCAGCUGUGGGGAGUGCCUCUGGGCACUGAGGGAGGGAGAAUGCAGCAAUUGUGAGGCAUUGAACUCAGUGCUGUCCUGUUAGAACAGAGAGGAAAACUGGCCCAAAUUUAGCUGUCACCCACCCAUGCCCACAAAGGGAGCAUUUAAACUAGCCCUAGCCAGAGGGGAAUUACCAAUCCUAGUGGUCCAAACUUGAGAGCCUUCAAACCUCACCUCCAUUGCUGCAAGCACUCUGUGUCUCCAAGUAAACUUGAAAGGCAAUCUGUCAUAGGGACUGCAACUCUUAGGUGAGUCCUGUGAGAAGGCAUUUUAAAUGGUCCAUUUUCAGGCAUGAUAAAUCUAAGCACUGGGAGCCAGCCUGCAGAUGUAACAAGCCACACAGCUCAUUCUUCUAGAAAGCCAUGAUAAAUGAACGUAAUUUAGAGGAGGGGUCAGCCCAUAAAAGGGAAGAAAGUUUAGUUAUUGGGAAGUCGAAACUUAAGUGGGAAAAGGGACUGGGGUAUGACCUUAUAAGGGGAAUAAUUAAGCUUAGGCAACGUCUGGGAAGAUUGUAACCCCAUAAUACUCGACCAAUGAGGAACUGGGGGAAGGAUUUGCAUGUUAGGAGAUAAAUUACCUGCUGUAGCUGUUACAGGUGUGCCUGUCAGACACCAGAUCUUGCAAGACCGCUAUUAAAAGUCUCACUUUUGCUGUUCUUUGUAUCUCUGAGUCCAUUCUUUGGGUUUGGAUGAGUGAACAUGUUUCUCACAAAUCUGAGGUCCCGUUCAGGAUCUCUGUGCCUGCAUGGAGUGGGACUCUGGCUGAGAGGGGAGACACAUUCCACCCGAUUUAGGUGGCCUGCUCUGUCUGGGCAUCCCGGCUCCCCGCGGAGGCCAUAGACAAACCGGAGACUGUUAUUCAGGAGGCAAU